UUCCCCUUGAGUUAAAACGUGGUAUUGAGAAACUAUGAGAAAAAUCUCCACAAAGGAAGAAUCUGAGAGUUUUCAAGGACCUAUCAAAUCAAGUGAGAAGAUGGCAUCCUGACAGCAGCACCAAUACAAAGAGCCAGGAAGAGAAUGAAAGGUGGAAUACUAACGGGUGGAUGGAGCACAGGUGUGGAGCAGGAAGUGGAAAGAGGCGGAGAUGAUCCAUCAGGCAGAGGCGGCCCAGGAGCACCUAGAAGUUCACGUCUAAAAUGUGGACCUGAUCCUGCAGGGGCUUUACUGAAAGGAUGAACAGGGAGAAUAGUCUCAGAAACACCAGUGACCACCAGAGGUGGACCUUCAGCAUCUCGGCAGUGCUGGUUUUUCCAGGCACGUGGCUUUGUGCAGCUCCGCACCCCCAAACUUCCCAAGUUCUUCUGCUAUCUGCGACGCUGGAGCCAAAGGAAGUCGAAACAGGGACGGAGAUACUAAGCCUGCCCUGGUGGCCCGUGCCUGUCAUCCCGGCGACCGGAGGCCAAACCGGGAGAACCAAGCCGGAAGCCAGCCUCGGCCACACAGCGGUCCCAUCUCCAGGAACAACGGAGCUCUGCCUCCAGAGCGCGCUUGAUUCUGAGCAGGUGCUUGGGAGGACUCCUUCCAAGUUCUCCAGGGCCUUUGCACACGUUUCUUUCCACGCUGAGAGGGUGCUCUUCCUAGACUGGCCAAGCCUCCGGUCUCCCUCUCCCGAGCCGCGGAGGUUCUAAUGACACAUCAGGACACGAUUUGUUCCUUGGGCUAUUUCAUUUGAGAGGGAAUAGGUCACUUGCAGGGGCCAAAUGCGAGAUACAAAUACCUGUAGCUCGAGCUGAGGAAACAGCUUUAAACAGUAUUCAAUGUGUUGUAAGAAUUUUUUCUUCUUCGGUAGGGAGCAAUGGACAGAACGUGGCCUGUCAGAGAACAAAGAAAAUCCUACUGACUUCAGGUAGGCCUCACCGGUUCCCAGCUCGGCCUGACAGCUUCUUGGCAGGCAUCAGGCACAGGCCUCAGCCUGGCUGGAGGGAAAGGAGGACCCGAGGGGAAACAGGCGCAGCCUCACCGAGAGGAGGGCGCCGUCUGCCGUGCAGCGCCAGCGCCACCAUGCGGUCAUCUGCGGAUCCUCAGCGCAAGAGCAAGUCCUUUUCCCUCCACGUUUGAAGAAGGGGAAAAUAAACCCAAAUCAAACUCUGAAGUGAUCUCUUCCUUUGGAGGGGCCACUCUAAGAGAUGCGCUGCAUGAAUGGGUACAGAUUUGGAAAGUAGCAGUUCACGACCCUCCUCAUUAGAUAGCAGUAACAAUUUUGAGUUCUACUGCACAAAUAGCUGGUAAAUGUCCUCAUACAGUGGAAAGAGGCAUUUCCGAUCGGUUGGCAGAUGUGAGGAACAGCUAAACGAAUGCACUACUCAGCCAGACUGUAAAGGGAGGGGCACUCUUGUGAAGGGUAGGUCACAGCUAACAAGCCACCUGUGCUGUCUUGCAGGUCGUAGCUAACGAGCCACCUGUGUUAUCCUCACUAACGUUUGCUCUUGGAGCACAGCUGCACAGUCUUAAGUCCUCAGCUGCAGUGUUUACUUGCUGUGAGAGAUGGCACAGCCUCAUUGAUCACUGAGGCCGCAGUCAUAACCCUUGGCAUCAGGAAGUCCAUCUCUAAACACCAGCUUAAGGCUCACUUAGCAAGUCAUGCUUAGGUCCUGGAGUGACUUAUAGUUUUAAUCAACAGCCAGAUUGUCAGCCAAUUCAAUGAUAUUGGACAGCCUGAUUAGUGCAGUUUCAAGCUGGUCUCUUGCACUUCCUCAUACUCUGAUUUAUCACUUGAUGGGCCCCAAGGUCAGUCAUUAAACAGACACCCUGACCUCCCCUGUCCCCUCCAUGAGUGCCUGCCCAGAUGCCCUUCCUUUUUCUUUUAUCCUCACUUCCUGUUCCCAUCCAUAAAAGGCCACAGAACCUUAACUUUGGGGCUGUCUCUGUCAGACUCUCUCAUGCGGAGGAGUCUGGGCUAAUGGCCGCCCCUCUGGGCCUUCUUGGGUCUGAGUCAUCCUUUGCUUCAUACCAUGGUUGUGAACUGUGAUGAGUUGUGCCCUGUGUGAAGAGCCUGUGAGGAAUAAGUUGGUGCCACUCACUGCAGAGGACCGACCUCCCAAAGCCUGGAAAAGGAACAGAACCCGUCUCUUCAUCCCAGUCCGGGGACAGUGGCGACAGAACAGCCUCACAUCUCAGCAAGGUCACAGGUCAGGCUUCUCAACCUGAAGUCUUUCAACUGUCCAACCGCUAAGGGAGUGGGACGGGUCUUUUGUUCUUUUUAUUCUUUCUUUUUUUAACAGUAGAAAACUUUGUGAGAAAUACAGCUUCUGUCUAAGAGAGAUGGAAGGGGGACCGGAAAUUGGGUAGUCCUUUCUUUUUGCACUUUUACUUCAUAUGGUAUGGAGCAUACUAUCCACAGAGGAAAACCAUUUAAACAACAUUUGCAAUGUCUCUUAAAGAUGUCUGGAUGUAAAGUUUCUGAUAGUUAUUUGACAACAAUGUCCAUGAUUUCCUGUGGAGGAUGGCCUAGGGCUGGAGGCCUGGGAACAUGUGGGCCAAAAUUGAGACAGUCAUUAGGUGUGGCAGACGUCUCUGCCCAGUAUUAGCAGACUCUGGUUAAUUGCAGCCCAGUCUUGGCACCCCCUCUCCAAGAAAGUCAGGUGAUGCCUUCGCUCUUUACGUCCCUGCCUACAUAUCAGCCAUCACCAGAUGCUUCCAGGCAGCUGCUUCUGGUUGCUUUACACUGUGUCAGCAGAUGCCUUCAAAACCUACCUUUCCUCCCUUCCCACACUUGUAGUCAGUAAAACACUGGGUGCCCUUGGUGCCUCUUGUGUUUGCUGCCCAGAGCAGCACGGAUCAGCCAAAGACCCAGUUCUCUCUAAGCCUUGUUUUGGUCUUUACUUUUGUUUAGCUUUGUGUUGUAGUGCAUCACAGGAGACCAGAACCCACUGCAGAGGUCUCUGGUAAUGUUUCCAUUCUUUCCCCCGUAAUUCCUGUAAAAAUUACACUCCUUGCUAUCUGGCAUCUUUGCAGGGCUGCUAUUUGAUCUACUUGAGCAGAUAGGUUCCUCUGAAAUGAGUUCCUCCUCUCUCCUCAGCUCCCUCUGAAAGCCAUCUUCUGCCUCUGAUGGCCCAGGGGGAAAAGAGAGACAGCCAGAGGUGGGGGGCUCUAAAAUUAUACCACAUGCUAAUUGGAGUUGUUUUUUUUAAAAAAAAUAACAAAAAAGAAAAAAAAUAAAAGUGGAAAAAUAGAAACUAAAAAGAAAAUUAAAAUAGAGAAAAAAUUUAAAAAGAAGAUAAAAAUAGGAAAAUAAUUUUUACAAAAAGAGAGGAAGCUAAAGACAACAAAAGUCAAGCCAGCAAGUUAUGCUAAACUGGGAUCAAUUUAUCAGGAAAAAAGAACUGCUAUCAAUAUUUUCUAAACAAAGGCUCAGGUACAUACAUGAGCCCCAAACUACAAAGCUUAAAGAAACAUCUCCAAUCUGUCCUGUAAUUUUCUUUCUCUUUCAGUCAAGUUCUUUGAGUUUUGUUUUUCUGCUUGGCAAUGUGGUUGGAGUUAUUGGCAGCUUUUGUCUUUGGAGGCAUGCUUUGGUAAGGCCAGAAGAUUCCCCCUGAAAAAGCUUUCUUUGAUCUUUCUGGUCUUUCUUACCUUGAGAUGGUUAGGAUUUUGUUCUCUCUGUGGCUGCUGGGUGUCUAGGUGGUGGCUUCCCUCUCUUAGUGACCCUUCCAGAGUGUAGCUGACUUUCACUUCUCUCCGGGGCAUAUUCUUAGAAAAUAGGUCUGGGUUUGACCCUAAACCUUUUAGAUCAAAUGUAUCAGUGUUCCUACCCCGAGGCAGAACUGGAAGUUAAGGCCUUUCACUCCCCCUGCCUUCAGGAAUGCUGCUCCAAGGGGAAACUGACUGGAUCUGUAGCACAGACAGGUUCAUUGCUAAAGCAAAAGCUAUUCCUAGGGGCCUUAGGAGUUUACUAACAGUUUUAAACAGAACAGGUCUGUGUCAAUGAGAUGAGCAAUCAGCUUAGAUCUCUCUUUAAUAACCAUCUGCUUUCAGGCGUAAAAGGUUUUCUUCUUUCUUUCUGAUUCAUAUUACAAGAGAUCUCUGUUAAUUUACUUAUGAAUAGUUCUGAUUAGUUUAUUUACAGUUAUAAACUGAAAAGCUGUGACAGGGUUAUUGUAAUACAAAGUGGCAAUGUAUCUAAGAGUGCACUCUGAUUUAAAGACAACUGUCUUAUGUGUUUGUUUGUUCGUCCAUUGUUUAAUGUGUAUUCAUUAGAACACCUGCAGCUGUCUCAUUUAUGAGAAAUAUUUUUUUCCAGCUC
Long non-coding RNA from Fukomys damarensis (Damara mole-rat), 4366 nucleotides. The record is from Ensembl. NCBI's taxonomy places the organism in Eukaryota, Metazoa, Chordata, Mammalia, Rodentia, Bathyergidae.